CUCCCUCUCUCUCUCUCUCUGCCUCUCUCUCUCUCCCUCUCUCUCUCUCUCUCUCUCUCUCUCUGUGUAAAAAGGUAUCGUGUUUUACUCUGGAAGUCUCCUCUGCUCUCUCUCAACCACGCUCAAUCAUUCAUUAGAUUAAUUAGUCUUGAGGUUUUUCAUUCACACGCUGUAUUCCAUUACAUUCCUUAGGUCGUCAUGGUCUGUCUGUCUGUCGGUCUGUGUCUGUCUGUCUGUCUCCUGGUGAAGAAAUAACACCGUGGUCAUGUUCACUAGGUGAAACGGGUGAAAAAGAUUCUGAAACUACACAAACUAGUCCAAUAAGAACACCGAUUUUGUUUUUCUGUUGCAAACGGUUUUACUACGGUGUGCCCUACUGAGGGGACGCUCCCUACAGCCUGCGGUCACUAGGUAACCCACACCAGGAAGAGAGAGGUCUGGUUUAGAACGCCCUACAGCCUGCUGUCACUAGGUAACCCACACCAGGAAGAGAGAGGUCUGGUUUAGAACGCCCUACAGCCUGCUGUCACUAGGUAACCCACACCAGGAAGAGAGAGGUCUGGUUUAGAACGCCCUACAGCCUGCUGUCACUAGGUAACCCACACCAGGAAGAGAGAGGUCUGGUUUAGAACGCCCUACAGCCUGCUGUCACUAGGUAACCCACACCAGGAAGAGAGAGGUCUGGUUUAACCAUAUCAUCACAUACAGAUCCAUGUGUCUUCUUUCCAUAUCGGGAUUUCUAUCAGCAUCACAAAUAGAGUUUCUGGUUCAGCCUGUUGUCCAUGUGUCCCCCAGGUCAACUGUCCUCUUCUCCUGUUGUCCAUGUGUCCCCCAGGUCAACUGUCCUCUUCUCCUGUUGUCCAUGUGUCCCCCAGGUCAACUGUCCUCUUCUCCUGUUGUCCAUGUGUCCCCCAGGUCAACUGUCCUCUUCUCCUGUUGUCCAUGUGUCCCCCAGGUCAACUGUCUUCUUCUCCUGUUGUCCAUCAUCAUAUUCAUGGUGUAUCACUGGUUUUAAUAGUGAGGUGACUGCUCUCUGACUGACUGUUGUGGGUUGACUGUUGUGGCUUCUCUCUGACUGACUUGUGGGUUGACUGUUGUGGGUUGACUUGUGGGUUAAUCUCUGACUGACUGUUGUGGGUUGACUGUUGUGGGUUGACUGCUGUGGGUUGCUGUCUGACUGACUGUUGUGGGUUGACUGCUGUGGG
Oncorhynchus tshawytscha (Chinook salmon) is the source of this 1205-nucleotide long non-coding RNA. Lineage: Eukaryota; Metazoa; Chordata; Actinopteri; Salmoniformes; Salmonidae. The record is from Ensembl.